This 800-nucleotide ribosomal RNA is filed under the name Calocybe hypoxantha var. occidentalis. RNAcentral's name for it is "eukaryotic LSU rRNA". It matches the Rfam family "Eukaryotic large subunit ribosomal RNA", at positions 81 to 856 of the family's 3401-position model. The record is from RNAcentral. Lineage: Eukaryota; Fungi; Basidiomycota; Agaricomycetes; Agaricales; Lyophyllaceae.
UAGUAACUGCGAGUGAGCGGGAAAAGCUCAAAUUUAAAAUCUGGUAGCCUCUGGCUAUCCGAGUUGUAAUCUAGAGAAGCAUUUAUCCGCGCUGGACCGUGUACAAGUCUCCUGGAACGGAGCGUCAUAGAGGGUGAGAAUCCCGUCUUUGACACGGACUUACCAGGGCUUUUGUGAUGUGCUCUCGAAGAGUCGAGUUGUUUGGGAAUGCAGCUCUAAAUGGGUGGUAAAUUCCAUCUAAAGCUAAAUAUUGGCGAGAGACCGAUAGCGAACAAGUACCGUGAGGGAAAGAUGAAAAGAACUUUGGAAAGAGAGUUAAACAGUACGUGAAAUUGUUGAAAGGGAAACGCUUGAAGUCAGUUGCGUCUAUUGGGGGUCAGCCUUGCUCUUUUGCUUGGUGUAUUUCCUGAUGGGACGGGUCAGCAUCAAUUUUGACCAAUGGAAAAAGGUCAUGGGAAUGUGGCAUCUUUUUGGAUGUAUUAUAGCCCUUGAUUGCAUACAUUGGUUGGGAUUGAGGAACUCAGCACGCCCGAAAAGGGUCGGGUCAUUGACCACGUUCGUGCUUAGGAUGCUGGCAUAAUGGCUUUAAUCGACCCGUCUUGAAACACGGACCAAGGAGUCUAACAUGCCUGCAAGUGUUUGGGUGGAAAACCCAUACGCGUAAUGANAAGUGAAAGUUGAGAUCCCUGUCGUAGGGAGCACCGACGCCCGGANCAGACCUUUUGUGACGGAUCCGCGGUAGAGCAUGUAUGUUGGGACCCGAAAGAUGGUGAACUAUGCCUGAAUAGGGUGAAGCCAGA